Molecule: microRNA precursor, 70 nt
Filed under: Bombyx mori (domestic silkworm)
Lineage: Eukaryota; Metazoa; Arthropoda; Insecta; Lepidoptera; Bombycidae
Description: mir-2774 microRNA precursor family
Rfam family: mir-2774 microRNA precursor family
Source: Rfam by way of RNAcentral
ACAACAUACGGACCGUCGUUCUACCAAGCAAUAUCACCCACUCGGUGGAAGAUCUUCAGGCAUCUGUCAA